This 336-nucleotide unclassified non-coding RNA is filed under the name soil metagenome. RNAcentral describes it as "partial contains 5.8S ribosomal RNA, internal transcribed spacer 2, and large subunit ribosomal RNA". The stretch from base 1 to 120 matches the Rfam family "5.8S ribosomal RNA", at positions 35 to 154 of the family's 154-position model. The record is from RNAcentral.
GAUGAAGAACGCAGCGAAAUGCGAUAAGUAAUGUGAAUCGCAGAAUUCAGUGAAUCAUCGAAUCUUUGAACGCACAUUGCGCCCCUUGGUAUUCCAUGGGGCAUGCCUGUUCGAGCGUCAUUUGUACCUUCAAGCUUUGCUUGGUGUUGGGUGUUUGUCUCGCCUUUGCGUGUAGACUCGCCUUAAAAUAAUUGGCAGCCGGCGUAUUGAUUUCGGAGCGCAGUACAUCUCGCGCUUUGCACUCAUAACGACAGCGUCCAAAAGUACAUUUUACACUCUUGACCUCGGAUCAGGUAGGGAUACCCGCUGAACUUAAGCAUAUCAAUAAGCGGAGGA